GCCGGGCGCGGUGGCGGGCGCCUGUAGUCCCAGCUACUUGGGAGGCUGAGGCAGGAGAAUGGCGUGAACCCGGGAGGCGGAGCUUGCAGUGAGCUGAGAUCCGGCCACUGCACUCCAGCCUGGGUGACAGAGCCAGACUCCGUCUCAA
RNAcentral lists this small RNA (148 nucleotides) under Papio anubis (olive baboon). RNAcentral's name for it is "Metazoan signal recognition particle RNA (ENSPANG00000038788.1)". The record is from Rfam by way of RNAcentral. Lineage: Eukaryota; Metazoa; Chordata; Mammalia; Primates; Cercopithecidae.